Long non-coding RNA from Felis catus (domestic cat), 1231 nucleotides. RefSeq lists it as uncharacterized. The transcript is spliced from 5 exons. Lineage: Eukaryota; Metazoa; Chordata; Mammalia; Carnivora; Felidae. The record is from RefSeq and is a predicted model, not a curated record.
CUCCCUUUUCCUCCUUCCUGACAAAACAUAGCACGGUAUUCUAGAACCCACUCAAUCAUUCCUUCAUCCGCGCAGCAAUCAAUCCCGUACAGAACACCCAAGCAUUCCACCCAAGGUGAGAGACACAGGUGGAUGGGCAUGCCCUCCUCCAAGUCUCCCAGGAGGCCACCAUGGGCCCAGCUGUUUGUGCUUCUCACCAUGCUGAUUACAGGGCCCCCAGGCAUGGGCCCCAUGUGGCUGAUGCUGGCAUACUGAGUCACAGUGAUCUCACUGUAGGGCUUGUGCUUCAGGAGAGGCACAGUGAGGGGCAAUGAAAACAGACAAAAAAGACCAGGAGGCUGAGUUAAGGCACUUUGGGCACCGCUGAUCCUCUCAUCCCUGGUCCCCUAUCCCCUGUUCCCUCCCUUGUAAAGUCCUGAGAGGCCCCAAAAUGGCCCAAAGAGAAUCCCCACACUGGAAAACCUGCCUCCAAAAUGGAGGGGACACAGGAGGCAUCGAAAUAGCAGAGAAUUUGUCUGGGUUUGAACCGCCAGUGUGGCAGGACAAAGCCUCAACCUCUGGCUGCUGUAAGAGGCUCAUUCCCAGGAAGAAAAAUGACCUCCAGCUGCAGUAGGUGCAUGCGACACCUCCCUGGCUGGACUGUGAGCUCCUUGAAGCUUUGUUACCUGUGGUGGGGAAGAGUAAGAGAGAAUUCCGUCCAAUGUCAUGAUCUCAACGAGGAAGCAGUACAGAGGUCUGUACAGCCAGCCCACUUGCUUCUCUCUUGGGCACCCCCCUAUUUAUGAUCCACCAACCUAAGCUUCACUGCUGGGAAAAAAACACCCUGACUUGCAGCAAAUUUUCUGAGAAUGACGUGUCACCCUUCCAGAAGGACCUCCAAGUCUGCCUUCUGUGUGAGGAAACUGAGGCCCAGAAAGGGAUAGUGGCUGUCCCAUGAUCACACUGCCGAUCAAGCCCUGGAAAUCUUUCAAUCCAGCAUUUCAGCAAGAAACAAACCACAGGGCAACGGUGUAAGAGGAUGCUGACCGCCAGGCUUUGACUGAGAACUAAUGGGGGACAGGACCUCUCACUCUGGCCUGGACCUCUUCCAGCCUCGGUUUGCUUUGAGUGUUGGUGGCCUCUGCAAAGAUUUUCAACCCCACCAUUCACAUCUCUGAAUCUCCCACAGCAUCAAGCAGAGCAGCAGGACGAAGUACACACUCGUAAAUAAUUGAAAAGAAUCCCUAUAAAG